This 5857-nucleotide unclassified non-coding RNA is filed under the name Neodiprion pinetum (white pine sawfly). Its description in RNAcentral is "neuronal PAS domain-containing protein 1-like, transcript variant X6". The record is from RNAcentral. Lineage: Eukaryota; Metazoa; Arthropoda; Insecta; Hymenoptera; Diprionidae.
CCUUCAGCGCGCGCGGCGCUUUCGUGCCGGUGCUCGUGCCUCGGCAGCCAGACAGACUCCUGGAGUCGAGGUCUUGACCGGACUGGAUACACCGCUGCAGUUGCGUCCGACCGCGACGAGCCCACGUUCGCAGCUGCCGGCCGCCGCAUGGUUUCGGUUCUCCGAUCCGCUGCCGUGAAUUAUUGCCCUGCAGACAGUGACACUACCACUUCUUUCCAACUAUCCAUUAAUGGGUCUCCGACCAUUUCGGUCCGAAAUUCGCGGUGGUCAUGUUCGACGAGCAACGUGCCAAGUGACUAAUCGAAAGGCAUCUUACCGCUACCUUACUUUGCAGACUGUGGUGGACCGUGGAAGUGACGAACAGUGAUACGGGUUAUCAGUUUUUUGUGAGAGUGACCAGUGAGACGUUGUAUGUUCACCGCAGGACGGUUCGACGUUAGUGAUUUUACCCAGCGUUCACGGUGAUGAACUUUUUAGUGCACGUGGAGAGAUUUUGAAACGUUUUGUCGUAAUCGUGAUCCUCGGGUUUCGAACAUCGACCAGUGUCGACGACGGUGAACAAGUGCUCCAGUUACUCAGGGCUUGUGAACACGGUGGACCGUGUCAAAAAUCACCAAGUAAAACUAUCCUUGAUCAAUGGUCAGGCGUUGAAUGAAGUCAUGUGCAAAUUUUCAGGAUAAUGAUUAAGCUAAUGAUCAAAUGGAAUAGACAAGUUUUCAAUGAGGUGGUUGCAGUUUAGUGGCAGUUCAUGACAGUGAAUAACCGAAGUAAGGACUGUGAUGGUUUUGUUCUUCCAUCGUGAAAUGAGACCGUACUAAAAUGGAUACGCGGUGUAUGAUUUGAGGAUUUUCAGACAAAAACUUUCGCAUACGUAAGGUGAUAAGUAAGAAAAACUGUGCGAUUACCAGUGACAGCGUAGUAGACAGUGUCGUUAAGUGAAAUAUACAACAGCAAAACUGCAGGGAGCGAGUCCGUCCGAGGUGGUAUAAGUCACGAUGCACCCCUUGAGAGAGUGAAGGAACCUGUUCGUUCGGGAAGCCUUGACAAGAGGAGAGCGAAGCUAGGUUGAAAUUGUCGAAGGAAGAACGGUCGUCGAGCGACGGUACGAAGUGGUGAAUCGGAAACGGGAACCGGCAGAAAAUUGCAGCGAUCCUCACAGCGCCGUCAUCGUCAGGAGGUGCAGGUCGGGGCCGUCGAGGAUGACGUAGCCCGGGGGUGGCCGAGCCAGGGAAACAGUGCGACCCCGGUCCGCACCCUGUACGCGCUGGACAGAAGCGCGGCAGGGCUGGGGGUGGUCGGUGGAGUCGGUGGAGUCGGGAUCGGCCCCGGGGUGGUCGGCAUCUGCGGCCCGGGAUCCGGAACGAUCACGCCGACGGACUACGUCACCGCGGGAUGCUACCCACCACCGGGCUCGACGCUUUCCUUGAGCGCCGUGCACCCCCAGCCCUCCACCGUCGUCGUUGACCAAGCGAUGACGCCCACAUCGGCGCCGGCACCAACCUCGGUCGCGGGGCCGAACAACCCCGUCGCCAUGAGCCAGCUGGGGACGGUUUACGCGACCAAACGCCGCCGGAGAAACGGAAAAAGUUUGAAGCCACCGCAGAAGGAUGGGGUGACUAAAUCGAACCCAAGCAAACGGCACCGCGAACGACUAAACGCUGAGCUGGACACUCUCGCGUCCUUGCUACCCUUCGAGCAGAAUAUACUGAGCAAACUCGACCGGCUAAGCAUCCUCAGGCUAAGCGUGAGCUACUUGCGAACCAAGAGCUACUUCCAAGUUGUGAUGCACAAGGACAAGGACGAGAGUGCUCACCACGAUUCGCAUUACCGAGCACGCGAGCUUGCUGCUCUUGCGGCGUACGACCACCAUCACCUAGACGGGGAAAUGUUCCUACAGGCGUUGAACGGAUUCCUGCUGAUCCUCACGUGCGACGGUGAAGUCUUCUUCGCAACUCACAGUAUCGAGAGUUACCUGGGCUUCCAUCAGUCCGACAUCGUUCACCAAAGCGUGUACGAGUUGGUGCACAGCGAGGACCGUGAGGAACUCCAAAGGCAAUUGAUGUGGAACUCCUUCCUACCCGCAGAAAGCGCCGGUCUUCCGCUUAACGACGCUCUGGCGCCUCAACACGGACAUCUCCUCGAGCGCAGCUUUACCGUCCGCUUCCGGUGCCUCCUGGACAACACUUCCGGCUUCCUGCGCCUCGACAUCAGGGGUAGAGUUAAGGUCCUCCACGGGCAAAACCGGAAGACGGAAGAUCCGCCCUUGGCGCUGUUCGCCCUCUGCACCCCCUUCGGUCCACCCUCGUUGCUCGAGGUGCCACAGAAGGAGGUGAUGUUCAAGAGCAAGCACAAACUGGACCUCGCCCUCGUCUCCAUGGAUCAGCGGGGUAAAAUGCUGCUGGGUUACUCGGACGCUGAGCUGGCGAACCUGGGUGGCUACGACCUUGUGCACUACGACGAUCUCGCCUACGUGGCGAGUGCGCACCAAGAACUUCUAAAGACUGGAGCAUCCGGCAUGAUAGCCUACAGGUAUCAGACCAAGGACGGUGGUUGGCAGUGGCUUCAGACGAGUUCAAGGCUCGUCUACAAGAACUCAAAGCCGGAUUUCGUAAUCAGCACACACCGUCCAUUAAUGGAAGAAGAGGGUCGAGACCUGCUAGGCAAGCGAACGAUGGAUUUCAAGGUCAGCUACCUGGACGCGGGUCUGACGAACAGUUAUUUUUCGGACAGCGAUAGCCUCACGGGUUCAGGAAUAACACCAACGCUCCCGGCUCAGCCGACGCCACAGCGAGUGAACCGUCGCUACAAGACGCAGCUUCGAGAUUUCCUCUCGACAUGCAGAGGGAAGAGAACCAAGCUGACGAGUCAGUCCUCCUCAUCACCGCCAGCGACGCCGAGUGUGGCAUCUGUCGAUUACCUGACUGCUGACACGAGCGCGGCAGCGGCAGUGGCCGCGGCAUACAGCAACCUCAACAACAUGUACCCAACCGCAUACGCGCCGACGGCGGUCGCCGCGACGAGCGAUCCGUCGUUGACGACGUACAUCGGACACACGGGCAACUACCAUCAGACCUUGUACCCUGCUGGUGCCCUGGACAACCGCUACCUAACGGCAACGGAGAACCUCUUCCAGUACCGUCCGUUGGGUUCCUACUACCCCGAGUACCACGCGACAACCGGUGCCUACAACGGUUUCCUCGACGUCUCGCUGCCCACCUACGACCCCCACCAACUGACGAGUUCGUCGUCGGGCAAAGGGGACGAUAAGCUUUACUGCCAACAACUGGCCGACUCCCCGAAGUACGGGUACGUCGAGGCUCGGCAUCCGGGCAGCGUUGGUUCCCCCUACGCGGCCAGUCCGGUGGCCACGGUGCCGGUGGUCCAUGGUCCGGGAAGUCGUCACUCUCUGGAGGGUGGUGCUUCGUCCAGCAAUUCGGCAGGCAGUUCGCCGGUGACGAGUGCUGGGACAGGCGUCCUUACACCGAAGAUGGAGGACGUCAAGCCGGACGUAAUUUACGGCGGCGAGGCACCCAGACAGACGGUGCUCAUGUGGGGUGCACCACCGUCCAGGUCACCGCCACGGAACAACGGCGCCUACAGUCCCCCGAUAUCACAUUCCCAGACAACCCCAAACGACCCCUUGAAAUCGCUUGCGGAGAUGAACUCUGUAAACGGUGAUUGCAAGUGGAAGCAGACCUCGCCCAACGGGCAAACCACCAGUGUCGCCUCAUCGACUAGUCCGACGAGGAGCAAGGCUCAGCAACAACAGCAGCAGCAGCAGCAGCAGCAGCAGGCUCAGCAUCAGGGUCAGCAGCACCAUCAGCAGUACGCUGUGACUGCCGCCCAUUACGCCACUCCUGCUGGAUACCCGCACCCUCAUUCGGGACACGGUCACUCCGAGGGCGGUUCGGAGGUAUGGCAAGGAGUCCAGCACCACCAUCACCACUACCAGUACUAUCCUUACCACCAUCACCAUCACCAGCACCACCAGCACCACCAGAAUCACCCCGCACCGCCGCAAAGGCACGGGACACUGCAAUGUGCGCCCCACACGUCACCGGGAUCGUUGUCGGGGGGAGGAAUUGCCGGGGUAAUGGGGACGAGACUGUCGAUGGAAACGGGCAACGGCAACACCAGCAACAGCACCAGCAACAGCAACACCACCAACACCAGCAACAGCACCAGCAACAGCAACACCAUCAACAACAGCAGCCGCAGCACCAGCACCACCACCACCACCACCACCAGCAGCAGCAUCACAACCAUCAGCAACAGCAGCAACACCAACAUCAGCAACAGCAACAGCGUAUCGUACCAUCUGGCCCAUCACAACCAUCACGGUGUGGUCCCAAUAGUGGGCUCGCAGAUCCAAAGCCGGACACCGGGAGUCCUUUGCUGUCCAUCUCUGAGGUGACAAACACCCUGCUCAACCAGUAGCCAUCGAUAAAAGAUCCAACGUAUCUAUUCGUUGUAGUCGACAAUUCUUCGCGACUAGAACGAUGAAGGACUUGUAUGAAAGUAAGGGCCUCUCCAGGCGAAUUAUCACCGUAUUAUAUUGCCCUGCGUUGCAGGCUGUCUGUUAAAUCGACCGAUCAUGGAAUUUAUAAGUGCGCAAAUUGUACCAUACAAGAUGAAAAAAUUAUCAGUUCAAUUAAUCGAGAAUUAUAAAUUCUAUACACGUGUAUAAUGUAUAGGAUGAUAUAUCCUGUAAUAUAAAUAUACACAUGCACAGAGUGAAUUCCUAACGACUGCAUGAACCGUCGUUUGCUAAAAUUUAAUGCAUGCGAGCUACAAUCCGAAAACGACCGUUUGCCAGGGUGACCAACUGUCUCUAGCUGUCAAAAAUUUUGAAGUUACUUACAUGGCUGCGCGCUGUCGACUAAAUUUGUGAGAGUUAGUUGCCUUGACUUAGAGCCGCUCUCGGAUCGAGCGCAUGCGCAUUAAAUUUUAGUAGCCGAUAGACCGCGCAGUCGGUAUAAAUUAACUCUGUACAUACCCAUUUACUGAUCGUUAUGCAUGGAUAAGUAACAUGCCUUAUUGGAGUAUCGACGUAUGUCAUCUAAAAGAAGAGAUCGAUUCCACUCAAUUACACUACAAAAAUGAGGUAGGAAUGGAAGAAAAUUUUUAAUUCACCCCGAAACAGGCUCGUGGUUUAUUGAUUUUAUCCUCUUAAUUUCUUUGGUGGAAGCCGUGCAGAUUGUAAAUCAGACGUCAGAUAUUCAAAAUUGAUGAAAUCAGAUCGAACCAAUUGAGACAACCGCCAUGAAUUCCAGUAGAAGCACAAACUUACUGUACCUAACUCAAAAUAAACGCAACACAGAUCUGUAUUACGUUUGGAAGCGUAACAUGAAUUAAUUCCUAUUUGACCUACAUAUAUAGGUAUAUAUAUAUAUAUGAUAAUUUAUAUACAUAUACUGUACGUGUAAGAGAAUAAGAAAACUAUAUAUUAUAUAUAAAUUUAAUAUCGUAAAUAAUUAUAUCCAAUAUACACAAAAGUGUACAACGAUUCUGUAUAAUAAUUAUAAUAAAUAAUAAAAAAUAGAAAUAAAGAUAAUAAUAAUUAUAAUAAUGGUAAUAGAUGAAUAAAUAAUACUGCAGUAAAUAGGUAAUAAAUAAUAAUUAUAACAAUAAUAUCAAUAAUAGAUAUCGUGCUUGUAUAAUUACGAAAUGAAAUACGUAUUCUGUGAUAAGUGUUAGAUGAUUAUUUCGACACGAAAAUCGUCAGAGACGUACUUGGUUGCAGGAUGAUAUAGCGAGAAUUACGGCAAAGAAAGAGAGAGAGUAAAAAAAAAAAAAAGGGAAAUGAAAAAUAAAACUAAUACAAGCAAUAAUAAUUAAUCGCCUGGAACAUUAAUUG